RNAcentral lists this ribosomal RNA (468 nucleotides) under uncultured bacterium. RNAcentral's name for it is "partial 16S ribosomal RNA". It matches the Rfam family "Bacterial small subunit ribosomal RNA", at positions 28 to 507 of the family's 1533-position model. The record is from RNAcentral.
GAUGAACGCUGGCGGCGUGCUUAACACAUGCAAGUCGAACGGAAAGGCCCAAGCUUGCUUGUGUAAUCGAGUGGCGAACGGGUAAGUAACACGUGGGCGACCUGCCCUGCACUUCGGGAUGAGCCUGGGAAACUGGGCCUACUACCGGAUCGGACAAUGGUUUGGAUGCCAUUGUGGAAAGCUUUGUCGGUGUGGGAUGAGCUCGCGGCCUAUCAGCAUGUUGGUGGUGUAGUGGCCUAGCCCGGCGUAGACGGGUAGCCGGCACGCGAGAGUGGAGGGACACACUAGAACUGAGAGGCGGGCCACACUGCGACGGGAGGGAGCAGUGGGGAAAAUUGGACACUGGGCGAAAGCCUGAUGCAGGGAGGCCGCGUGGGGGAUGACGGCUUUCGGGGUGUAAGAUACUCUCGCGGUUGACAAAGCGUUUUUGUGACGGUACCUAGAGAAGAAGCACCGGCUAACUACGUG